GCCGGGAUGGCGGAAUUGGUAGACGCAGCGGACUCAAAAUCCGCCGCCGAAAGGUGUGGGGGUUCGAGUCCCCCUCCCGGCACCA
This 85-nucleotide transfer RNA is filed under the name Rugosibacter sp. RNAcentral's name for it is "tRNA-Leu". It matches the Rfam family "tRNA". Rfam says of the family: Transfer RNA (tRNA) molecules are approximately 80 nucleotides in length. RNAcentral also lists the same sequence under 2 other names. Lineage: Bacteria; Pseudomonadati; Pseudomonadota; Betaproteobacteria; Nitrosomonadales; Sterolibacteriaceae. The record is from RNAcentral.